AAGUAAUACAGUUAGUUCUGAGAGACAGAGCCCCACUCUGUAUCGAAGGUUGGCCUGGAACUCAUGGUGAUCCACCUGCCUCAGUUUCCUGAGUUCUGGGAUUAUCAUCACCAGCCACCAUAAUGAAGCUUAUUUGUUUAUCAUAUUAAGAGAGAGUUUUCCCCUCUGGAGUGUAUCUAUCUCUAAUCAUACACAUGCAAACAUUUCAUAAAUGAUGCUUGUUAUAGAUGUGCCCCCAGCUUUAUUGAGGUAUAACUGAAAGACAUUAAUUAUAUACAUUUAUGACAUAUAAUGUGGGGUUUUAAGAUAUGUAAUCAUUGUAAAACAAUUAUCAAGCUAAUUAACUGUUGUUCAGCUAUUUUUUUUUUCCAGACUGAAGCAUUCCCUCCUGGAGGAAGGCUUCUACUACUGAUGAAGUAAAUGAAAUAAGCCCAGGCAGUAAACAAAGCUUGUAGGUCACAGGAAGCUCCUGAAACUUAGAAGAGUCACAAAGCCAUAUAUGUAGUAGUAACAGCAGCUGGGCAGAGGAGACUUAAAGACCCACCAGGCUGCCUGCAAGUUGUGCAUGGAGUUCUGGGCAUGUGACUGUCCUGAGUCCUCUCCCCAGCUGGGGUGCUCUUUAGCUUAUGCAGUUGCAACUGAGUCACAGUGCUCCCGUGAGUAACUCUCAUCAGGAGUCCUGUAAGUAACUUCAGUAAACUGGCUCACCAGGCUAGGCUUAACAUCUUCUGUUUUUUUCUUUUUUUGAGACAGGGUCUCAUUUUGUAGCCCUUGUUGAGCCUGACUUUGUUAUAUAGACCAGCGCGGCCUUGAACUCACAAUGAUUAGAACUAUAGGGAUAUGCCACUGUGCCUGGCAAUUUCUUUGGUCUGUCCUUGUUGCUAAGUCUGUGGAUCUCUGUGAGUUCCAGACCAGUCUGGUCUACAAGAGCUAGUUCCAGGACAGCCUCCAAAGCCACAGAGAAACCCUGUCUUGAAAAACAAAAAAACAAAAUAAAAAACAAACAAACAAACAAACAAACCAAAAAGACCCCCCAAAAUCUGUGAUGAACCAACACUUGUUAGGAAAAGUCACACAACACAUGCAUUCUCCGUGGUCUCUGCUUCAGUUCCUGCCAUGGCUUUCCCUGAUAAUGGACUGUACCUGUAAGCCAAAUAAACCCUUUCCUUCCCAAGUUCUUUUGCUCAUAGAUCCUUAUCAUAGCAAUAGAAAUUGUGGUGAUUUGAAUUAAAAUGGCCCCAUAGGGAGUGGUGCUAUUAGGAAGUGUGGCCUUGUUGGAGGAAGGGUUUCCCUG
RNAcentral lists this long non-coding RNA (1294 nucleotides) under Cricetulus griseus (Chinese hamster). Its description in RNAcentral is "lncRNA (ENSCGRG00015041655.1)". Lineage: Eukaryota; Metazoa; Chordata; Mammalia; Rodentia; Cricetidae. The record is from RNAcentral.